Molecule: ribosomal RNA, 253 nt
Filed under: uncultured bacterium
Lineage: Bacteria
Description: partial 16S ribosomal RNA
Rfam family: Bacterial small subunit ribosomal RNA
Source: RNAcentral
GACGAACCGUGCGAACGUUGUUCGGAAUCACUGGGCAUAAAGGGUGCGUAGGCGGGUUUUUAAGUCAGGGGUGAAAUCCUGGAGCUCAACUCCAGAACUGCCUUUGAUACUGAAGAUCUUGAGUUCGGGAGAGGUGAGUGGAACUGCGAGUGUAGAGGUGAAAUUCGUAGAUAUUCGCAAGAACACCAGUGGCGAAGGCGGCUCACUGGCCCGAUACUGACGCUGAGGCACGAAAGCGUGGGGAGCAAACAGG